This 241-nucleotide ribosomal RNA is filed under the name uncultured bacterium. Its description in RNAcentral is "partial small subunit ribosomal RNA". It matches the Rfam family "Bacterial small subunit ribosomal RNA", at positions 26 to 283 of the family's 1533-position model. The record is from RNAcentral.
AGGGUGAACGCUGGCGGCGUGCUUAAGACAUGCAAGUCGAACGGAUGCUUUCGGGCAUCAGUGGCGCACGGGUGAGUAACGCGUAACUGACCUACCUCCAAGUUCAGCAUAACGUCUCGAAAGAGACGCUAAUUCUGAAUGUGAUCCCGGAUCGUGUUCCGUGAUUAAAGAAUUUCGCUUGGAGAUGGGGUUGCGUUCCAUCAGCUAGUUGGUAGGGUAAGCCUACCAAGGCGACGACGGA